GCCGAAGUGGUGGAACUGGUAGACACGCCAUCUUGAGGGGGUGGUGAGGGUUUCCUUGUGGGGGUUCAAGUCCCCCCUUCGGCA
Molecule: transfer RNA, 84 nt
Filed under: Deferribacterales bacterium
Lineage: Bacteria; Pseudomonadati; Deferribacterota; Deferribacteres; Deferribacterales
Also listed under: 1 other name
Description: tRNA-Leu
Rfam family: tRNA
About the family: Transfer RNA (tRNA) molecules are approximately 80 nucleotides in length. Their secondary structure includes four short double-helical elements and three loops (D, anti-codon, and T loops).
Source: RNAcentral